GCACCUGCGGUAAUUCCAGCUCCAAUAGCGUAUAUUAAAGUUGUUGCGGUUAAAAAGCUCGUGGUUGGAUUUCUGCCGAGGACGACCGGUCCGCCCUCUGGGUGCGUAUCUGGCUCGGCCUGGGCAUCUUCUUGGAGAACGUAUCUGCACUUGACUGUGUGGUGCGGUGUCCAGGACUUUUACUUUGAGGAAAUUAGAGUGUUUCAAGCAGGCACACGCCUUGAAUACAUUAGCAUGGAAUAAUAAGAUAGGACCUCGAUUCUAUUUUGUUGGUUUCUAGAGCUGAGGUAAUGAUUAAUAGGGAUAGUUGGGGGCAUUCGUAUUUAACUGUCAGAGGUGAAAUUCUUGGAUUUGUUAAAGACGGGCUACUGCGAAAGCAUUUGCCAAGGAUGUUUUCAUUGAUCAAGAACGAAAGU
Molecule: ribosomal RNA, 416 nt
Filed under: uncultured eukaryote
Lineage: Eukaryota
Description: SSU rRNA
Rfam family: Eukaryotic small subunit ribosomal RNA
Source: RNAcentral